AGAGUUUGAUUAUGGCUCAGAACGAACGCUGGUGGCGUGUCUUAUACAUGCAAGUCGAGCGAGGCAGCAAUGCCUAGCGGCGAACGGGUGAGUAACGCGUAAGCAAUCUGCCCCAUAUCAGGAAAUACCCGUGCCAACGCGCGGUUAAUGUCCAGGAGCGUGGCCUUCCGCAUGGGAGGUUGACAAGAGAUUUAUCGGUAUGGGAUGAGCUUGCGUCCGAUUAGCUAGUUGGCGGGGCAACGGCCCACCAAGGCGACGAUCGGUAGCCGGCCUGAGAGGGUGAUCGGCCACAUUGGGACUGAGAUACGGCCCAGACUCCUACGGGAGGCAGCAGUAGGGAAUAUUGCACAAUGGGGGAAACCCUGAUGCAGCAACGCCCACGUGUGGGAAGAAGCAUUUCGGUGUGUAAACCACUGUCGUGAGGGAAUAAGGCGUCUUCUCGGAGACGUUGAAUGUACCUCGAAAGGAAGCACCGGCAAACUUCGUGCCAGCCGCCGC
This 498-nucleotide ribosomal RNA is filed under the name uncultured bacterium. Its description in RNAcentral is "bacterial SSU rRNA". It matches the Rfam family "Bacterial small subunit ribosomal RNA", at positions 8 to 518 of the family's 1533-position model. The record is from RNAcentral.